AGUGAACGCUGGCGGCAGGCCUAAUACAUGCAAGUCGAACGGCAGCACAGCAGAGCUUGCUCUGUGGGUGGCGAGUGGCGGACGGGUGAGGAAUACGUGGGAAUCUGCCCAGUCGUGGGGGAUAACGUAGGGAAACUUACGCUAAUACCGCAUGCGCCCUUCGGGGAAAGCCGGGGACCUUCGGGCCUGGCGCGAUUGGAUGAGCCCACGUCGGAUUAGCUAGUUGGCGGGGUAAAGGCCCACCAAGGCGACGAUCCGUAGCUGGUCUGAGAGGAUGAUCAGCCACACUGGAACUGAGACACGGUCCAGACUCCUACGGGAGGCAGCAGUAGGGAAUAUUGGACAAUGGGCGCAAGCCUGAUCCAGCCAUGCCGCGUGAGUGAAGAAGGCCCUCGGGUUGUAAAGCUCUUUUGUCCGGAAAGAAAAGCGCCGGGUUAAUACCCUGGUGUCCUGACGGUACCGGAAGAAUAAGCACCGGCUAACUUCGUGCCAGCAGCCGCGGUAAAGUA
Molecule: ribosomal RNA, 509 nt
Filed under: uncultured bacterium
Lineage: Bacteria
Description: bacterial SSU rRNA
Rfam family: Bacterial small subunit ribosomal RNA
Source: RNAcentral